UACGGGGGGAGCAAGCGUUGUUCGGAUUUACUGGGCGUAAAGGGCGCGUAGGCGGCCACCGCAAGUCGACUGUGAAAUCUCCGGGCUUAACCCGGAAAGGUCAGCCGAUACUGCGGGGCUAGAGUGCAGAAGGGGCAACUGGAAUUCUCGGUGUAGCGGUGAAAUGCGUAGAUAUCGAGAGGAACACCAAUGGCGAAGGCAGCUCGCUGGGACGGUACUGACGCUGAGACGCGAAAGCGUGGGGAGCAAACAGG
Molecule: ribosomal RNA, 254 nt
Filed under: uncultured bacterium
Lineage: Bacteria
Description: partial 16S ribosomal RNA
Rfam family: Bacterial small subunit ribosomal RNA
Source: RNAcentral